CUGGAAGGGAGCAUCAUAGAGGGUGAGAAUCCCGUCUUUGACACGGACCGCCAGUGCUAUGUGAUGUGCUCUCGACGAGUCGAGUUGUUUGGGAAUGCAGCUCAAAUCGGGUGGUAAAUUCCAUCUAAAGCUAAAUACGGGCGAGAGACCGAUAGCGAACAAGUACCGUGAGGGAAAGAUGAAAAGAACUUUGGAAAGAGAGUUAAACAGUACGUGAAAUUGCUGAAAGGGAAACGCUUGAUGUCAGUCGCAUCGGCCGGGGAUCAGCCUUGCUUCUCGCCGGGCGUAUUUCCCGGUCCCGAUGGGUCAGCAUCAGUUUCGUUUUCGCCGUACAAGGGCAAAGGGAACGUGGCACUCUCCGGAGUGUGUUAUAGCCCUUUCGUCGCAUGCGGUGGUCGAGACUGAGGAUCUCUGCACGUCUUUCCGUCUGUGCUUAGGAUGCUGGCAUAAUGGCCUUAAGCGACCCGUCUUGAAACACGGACCAAGGAGUCUAACAUGCCUGCGAGUGUUCGGGUGGCAAACCCGAGCGCGUAACGAAAGUGAACGGUCGAGACCUCCGUCAUGGAGGGCAUCGACGCCCGGACCUGAGUCUUCGACGACGGAUCUGCGGUAGAGCAUGCAUGUUGGGACCCGAAAGAUGGUGAACUAUGCCUGAACAGGGCGAAGCCAGAGGAAACUCUGGUGGAGGCUCGUAGCGAUUCUGACGUGCAAAUCGAUCGUCGAAUUUGGGUAUAGGG
Molecule: ribosomal RNA, 737 nt
Filed under: Xanthoconium porophyllum
Lineage: Eukaryota; Fungi; Basidiomycota; Agaricomycetes; Boletales; Boletaceae
Description: eukaryotic LSU rRNA
Rfam family: Eukaryotic large subunit ribosomal RNA
Source: RNAcentral